AUGUCCAUGUCUCUCCUGCCGCAUGCCACGGUGUUCUUGUUCAUCUUCCUAGUGGCCGCACCGUCUCAGGUUCAUGCUCGGGUUGCUCCGGAUGAUCGGCACGCGCAUGGCGGCCAAGGUUCCAGUAACACUGACAUCGCCAAAGGCGAUGCUCCGGUGACGUUGACGCCAGCUUAUGCACCAGCGAACGACGGCGCUGGUCGUGGCCGGACGCUUUGGUCGACGCCGAGCGACGGUGUUGGCCAUUAG
RNAcentral lists this ribosomal RNA (249 nucleotides) under Triticum aestivum (bread wheat). RNAcentral's name for it is "partial small subunit ribosomal RNA". Lineage: Eukaryota; Viridiplantae; Streptophyta; Magnoliopsida; Poales; Poaceae. The record is from RNAcentral.